AUGCUGGUGCUAUGCUUGUAUAGCCUGCAGAAUGGAGCAGAGUCCUGCUAUGUUGUCCAGGCCGGCCUUGAACUUCUGGCCUCAAGCAAUACUCCCACUAUGGCCUCUCAAAGUGCUGAGAUUGCAUGCGUGAGCCACCAUGCUCAGCCUAGAUCUUCUUUAAAGUUACUUUCCUCAGCAUUUUGUAGUUUUCAGCAUGUAAGUCCCAUACAUUUUUGUUAGACUUAUACUUAUUUCCUUUUUUGGGGAACAAUUUAAAAUGGUAUUGUAUUUUUAAUUUCAGUGUCUAUAUAUUCAUUGCAUUUAUAUAGAAAUACGAUUAAUUUUUGCAUAUUUAUCUUAUAUCUAGCGUAUUUACUGAACUCACUUAUUCUAGGAGGGUUUUUUUUUUUAAAGAUUUCUUAAUGUUUUCUACAUUGACAAUCAUAUUAUAUAUAAACAGGGAUAGUUUUGUUUUUUCCUUUUGAUUUGGAUGUCUUUCAUUUCUUUUUCUUGUCUUAUUGACCUGAGUAGAACUUGCAGCUUGUGUUGUCAUGAAUAAAGAUGGUGAGAGGAGAAAGACAUUCUGGUCUCCUUACCGAUCUUAAGGGGAAAAUAUUCAGUUUUCACCUUUAGUAUGAUGCUAGCUAUAGGCUCUUAUGUGUAUGCUCUUUAUUUUCUUGAGGAAGUUCUCUUCUAUUUUUAUUUUUAUGAGAAUUUUACUUAUUGAGUUCUAAAUAUUAUCAAAUAUUUUUCUGCCUUCAUUGAUAUAAUCCUGUGAUUUUUUCUUCCUCAGUCUGUCACUAUAGUAGAUUACACUGGCUGAUUUUUGAAUGUUGAAUCAUAUUUACAUGCCAGGAAUAAACCCCACUGGGCCAUGUUGUAUAAUUUCUUUUAUAUGAUGCCAAAUUCUCUGUCCUACUAUUUUAUUAAGGAUUUCAGUAUUUAUAUGCAUGAAGGAUAUUGGUGAUAUUAUUUACCAAGCCGUCUUUGUUUGGUUUUGGUAUCAGAGUGAUACCAGCUUCAGACCAAAACCUGACAAGGACACACACAACAAAAACCCUACAGGCCAACAUCUCUGACGAACAUAGAUGCAAAAAUUCUGGAUAAAAUGCUAGCACACUGAAGCCAACAACACAUCAAAUAGAUAAUAUGCCAUGAUCAAAUGAGAUUUAUCCCAGAGACAUAAAGAUGGUUCAACAUAUGCAAAUGAAUAAAUGUACUACAUCACAUCGACAGAAUGAAGGACUAAAACCAUAUGAUCAUCUCAAUAUACAAAGAUAAAGCAUUUGAUAAAAUUCAAAUCCUUACAUGAUAUAAACUCUCAAAUUAGGAACAUAGAAGAAACAUUCCGCAACAUAAUCAAGGCCGUAUAAGGCAAAUGCAUCAUACUAACAUCAUAGCGAAUGGGGAAAAGCUGACAGGCUUUUCUCUAAAAAGUGGAAUUAGACAAGGCUGCCUUUUUUGAGACAAAGUCUUGCUCUGUUGCCCAGGUGAGGAUGCCCACUUUUACCACUCUUACUGAACAUAGCACUGGAAGUCCUAGCCAGAGCAAUCAAAUAAGAGAAAGGAAUAAAAGGCAUCCAGAUUGGAAAAGAAAAAGCCAUUUUUUUUUUUUUUUUUUUUGCAGAUGACAUGAUCUUAUAUAGAGAGAAAUCUAAAGCUUCAACCAAAAAAACCUCCUAGAAUUGAUUAAUGAAUCAGUAAACUUGCAGGAUGAAAAAUCAACAUAUAAAAAUUAAUGGCAUUCCUUUUUGGUGGUCCUUUUUUUUUGGUCUUUUUUGAGGCAGUGUCUCACUUUGUCACCCAGGCUGGAGUGCAGUAGCACGAUCUUGGCUCACUGAAACUUCCACCUCCUGGGUUCAAGCAGUUUUCAUGUCUCAGCCUCCUAAGUAGCUGGGAUUAAAGGCAUGUGUCACCAAGUGCGGUUAAUUUUGUAUUUUUAUAGACAGGUUUCACUGUGUUGGCCAGGCUGGUCUCAAACUCCUGACUUCAGGUGAUCCAUCCACCUCAACCUCCCAAAGUGCCGGAAUUAUAGGCAUGAGCCACGAUGCCCAGCCUUUUGUUAUUUUUGUUUUUCAGUUUAGUCAAUGGUCUGCUGAAUACAGAGUAGUUUAACAGUUAGGGUUGCUAAUUACUCCUCAGCACAGAGAUUCAGAGUCAGCACACAAAUGUCUUAUCCAUGACUGAGAUAAACAGUCCCCCUGAACACAGUCCCAAUUGUGUCAUGUGGGCACCCUUCCCCCAUGUCCAUGGAAAGGGGCACCAGAGGCCAGCCGGGCCACAGCUAUGAAAGGAAGACCUGACUUCAGCUCCUUGCCGUUUCUCCAUCAGGUUCCUCCUCCCUGUGUGCCCAUCAUGUUUACCACUUCUUAUUUCCAGAGGACUUCCUCCUCCAUAGCUACCAUCCCUUCAUUGACUUUUACUGUCUACUUGUUUGCAGGGAGCUUCUCUUUGUGGCAGGAUAGGGUGAUGACCAGGCAUUCAGGCUCCAUCAGACAAUAGAGUCUGGCUCUACCACUCAUUAUUUUUUAAACAACCUUGUGACUGUAACUACCGCUUAUUAGCAUACAUUAUCAUGCAAUUAAUUAACAACCCUUAGGUCAGGCAUGGUGGCUCACACCUCCCAACACUUUGGGAGGCCAAGGCCGGAGGAUUGCUUAAGCCUAGGAGUUAGAGAUCAGCCUGGGCAACAUAGUGAGAUCCCCUUGUGGUGCAUGUCUGUGGUUCUAGCAACUCAGGUGGCUGGUGGGGAGGAUCACUUUAGCCCAGGAGUUUGAGGCUGCAGUGAGCAAUGGUCAUAUUACUAUACUCCAGCCUGGGCAACAGAGCAAGACUCUGCCUCUAAAAAUAAAUAAUAAAUAAUAAUAAUAAUUAAAAAAACAGAGUAAAAUCCUCUUAGAUUCAGUUUUUACAAAGUGUCAUUGGAAGCAUAAAUGUGAACUUGAAGAUUUUUCAGAUAUUUAAUGUUGGAUGGUUGUUUUGCAAGAUUUCCAUGGGUAGAGUUUUGUACUGGAGAUGAGGAAGUUUUUUUCUCCCUCUAUUUUCUAAGUAUUUGGCAGAGAACAGUAUUAAAACAACCUACGGGAUAUGUGUUUACCCCUGAACUAUUCUAUAAAAUUUAACAUAGCUAAAAUAAAUCAAUGGAACAGAUAACAGUUAUUUCUUUGUCUCCUUGCUUACACCCACUUCUCCUUUUCUAAAAGGAAAUUUGUCAUUAGCUGAAUAUAUUCUAAAGUUGUUUCUUUGUACUUUGUUUUGUUUUAAAAGAUAAGCACUAAAGAAAAAUUCUUUGUAUUUCCAUAAAGCUUUUCAUCUUAUAUUUCCACAUACUUUGACAAUGUUUUUUCUUAAGUUCUGUAGCAUGCUUUGUAAAAACAGCUAUAUUAGGUUAUGGUUUACACACAGUAAAACUCACCCAUUUUAGGUGUACCUCAGAUCGGCAAAUAUAUACAAUUGUAUAACUAC
This 3447-nucleotide long non-coding RNA is filed under the name Callithrix jacchus (white-tufted-ear marmoset). RNAcentral's name for it is "lncRNA (ENSCJAG00000073632.1)". Lineage: Eukaryota; Metazoa; Chordata; Mammalia; Primates; Cebidae. The record is from RNAcentral.